CAGUCGCCGCGGGAAUACAGAGGGUGCGAGCGUUAAUCGGAUUUACUGGGCGUAAAGCGUGCGUAGGCGGCUUUUUAAGUCGGAUGUGAAAUCCCUGAGCUUAACUUAGGAAUUGCAUUCGAUACUGGGAAGCUAGAGUAUGGGAGAGGAUGGUAGAAUUCCAGGUGUAGCGGUGAAAUGCGUAGAGAUCUGGAGGAAUACCGAUGGCGAAGGCAGCCAUCUGGCCUAAUACUGACGCUGAGGUACGAAAGCAUGGGGAGCAAACAGGAUUAGAGACCCCCGUAGUCCCUGUCUCUUAUAA
RNAcentral lists this ribosomal RNA (301 nucleotides) under uncultured bacterium. RNAcentral's name for it is "partial 16S ribosomal RNA". It matches the Rfam family "Bacterial small subunit ribosomal RNA", at positions 509 to 809 of the family's 1533-position model. The record is from RNAcentral.